RNAcentral lists this long non-coding RNA (1366 nucleotides) under Mus musculus (house mouse). RNAcentral's name for it is "long non-coding RNA chr2:140912725-140914091". The record is from RNAcentral. Lineage: Eukaryota; Metazoa; Chordata; Mammalia; Rodentia; Muridae.
AGGGAUAUUAACAUUAUAUUUAAUAUAGGGAGGAGUUAAUAGUCCUGUGAAUUUUAUUUAGAUGACUUCCUCUCAAAGUGUAGCUUUUGCUAAAAUAUCUACUGAAUCUUUUAUUGACCUGCUUUUAGCAAAUAAUAUAGAAAGAAAGAGAGAGAGAGAGAGAGAGAGAGAGAGAGAGAGAGAGAGAGAGAGAGAGAGAGAAACUCAAGGCUACCCUGUAUCCUUUAUAAAUUGUAGUAUAAGUAAUUUUGAUAAUACAGCAUCUAAUUUUGUGAGGCUCUGUGUCUCUGCAGCCAAAAGUCUAAAAGUAUUAUAAGCACAUAUCAGAUGGAUUUAAUUACAGGCAGUUUAUUUUUCAAGUGCUGCUUUUGAAUAGAACAGCGAGUUGCUAUGAGCCCAAGGCAACUUCCCUGCAAAGUAAUCCAGGUGCCGCAUGCUACUGCUGAACAGCCUUGCAUGGCUGUGGAGAACAGUUUCUGUCUAGUGCCCAGGCUUCUUGUGAGUUUUUGGUGUUGCCUCUAGGCACACCUUUUCUCCCCUGAAUCUUCUUCAAGGGGACUGUGUGUUUCAUGGGCUGUUGGUACUCUAGGCCUUGGAAACCAACAUCAUUAGGGUCUACCUUUUAAACCAUUCAUAUUCUUUUAAUUCAAGUGCCAGCUAUGUUAAAAAAUAUGGAAUGAGUUUCUAUUAUUUUCUGAGAAGCAACUGCAUCUGAUUUUUGAAACACAGUAUUUCUUUGAUAGGUGUUAGAGAAAUUUAAUAAUCAGAUGGAAACACAUAUUUAAUAGUUGCCUUUUGUGCUUUUCCAGGGUAAAACAGUUACAUAUCUGAGUAAUCUGAUUUCUGUGGGGUUGUCACAUUUUAUUUUUAAUAGAAGUUUACUUUUGCUUGGGAAUAUGUAACUUGAACAUAUUAACAUUUUCUUUUCCCACAAAGUCCAUGAAGAAAAAGGCGCAUUUUAGUGCAUGGCAGUCACUCACAUUUCCAAACUCCCCCCUGCGUAUCUUCAUGUGCUUGGAUUUAUAUGAAAGCCUGAUAAAGAGAUGACAAUUAAUGUGCUCAACCUGUUAGGAGAGGGUUGGCACACUGUUGAUUUAAGCUUGUUGAAUGAGAUAUCCCAGAAUGUUAAAGAGGCAGACCAGCAGGUUUCAGGUGAUUAAAGAAAAUCCCUCGUCUUGGAAGAACUUGAAGGAACACGAUGCUAUUUAAGCAGAAUCUAAUCAGAAGGAAGAAUAGCUUGGAAGAGAAAAGAGGGAAUGUUUCAUGUCAUUAUUUGCAAAGCGUUGGAACAAAAGGUUAGCAAGAUAAUUAAGUGCCUUGCUGCUUAGUAGAAUUUUUCAAAGUAAGUUGAUUAGAGACCUUCUUU